RNAcentral lists this ribosomal RNA (580 nucleotides) under Fusarium equiseti. RNAcentral's name for it is "eukaryotic LSU rRNA". It matches the Rfam family "Eukaryotic large subunit ribosomal RNA", at positions 1 to 591 of the family's 3401-position model. The record is from RNAcentral. Lineage: Eukaryota; Fungi; Ascomycota; Sordariomycetes; Hypocreales; Nectriaceae.
UUGACCUCGGAUCAGGUAGGAAUACCCGCUGAACUUAAGCAUAUCAAUAAGCGGAGGAAAAGAAACCAACAGGGAUUGCCCUAGUAACGGCGAGUGAAGCGGCAACAGCUCAAAUUUGAAAUCUGGCUCUCGGGCCCGAGUUGUAAUUUGUAGAGGAUGCUUUUGAUGCGGUGCCUUCCGAGUUCCCUGGAACGGGACGCCAUAGAGGGUGAGAGCCCCGUCUGGUUGGAUGCCAAAUCUCUGUAAAGCUCCUUCGACGAGUCGAGUAGUUUGGGAAUGCUGCUCUAAAUGGGAGGUAUAUGUCUUCUAAAGCUAAAUACCGGCCAGAGACCGAUAGCGCACAAGUAGAGUGAUCGAAAGAUGAAAAGCACUUUGAAAAGAGAGUUAAAAAGUACGUGAAAUUGUUGAAAGGGAAGCGUUUAUGACCAGACUUGGGCUUGGUUAAUCAUCUGGGGUUCUCCCCAGUGCACUUUUCCAGUCCAGGCCAGCAUCAGUUUUCGCCGGGGGAUAAAGGCUUCGGGAAUGUGGCUCUCUCCGGGGAGUGUUAUAGCCCGUUGCGUAAUACCCUGGCGGGGACUGA